CCCUUAGAUGUCCUGGGCCGCACGCGCGCUACACUGAGUGUCUGAGAUACGAGUCUGCCUGGUCCGGCAAGGUCUAGGUAAUCGCUAAAAGACACAUCAUGCUUGGGAUAGAUUUUUGCAAAUAUUAAUCUUGAACGAGGAAUUCCUAGUAAACGCGAGUCAUCAGCUCGCAUUGAUUACGUCCCUGCCCUUUGUACACACCGCCCGUCGCACCUACCGAUUGAAUGGUUCGGUGAAGAUCUCGGACUUCGAUAUUUAUUCUUUAUUGAGUUUAUAUUGUGGGAAGUUAUCUAAACCUCAUCAUUUAGAGGAAGGUGAAGUCGUAACA
RNAcentral lists this ribosomal RNA (328 nucleotides) under uncultured eukaryote. Its description in RNAcentral is "partial 18S ribosomal RNA". It matches the Rfam family "Eukaryotic small subunit ribosomal RNA", at positions 1470 to 1796 of the family's 1831-position model. The record is from RNAcentral.